UGGGGAAUAUUGGACAAUGGAGGAAACUCUGAUCCAGCAAUUCUGUGUGUGUGAAGAAGGUUUUAGGACUGUAAAACACUUUUAGUAGGGAAGAAAAAAAUGACGGUACCUACAGAAGAAGCAACGGCUAAAUACGUGCCAGCAGCCGCGGUAAUACGUAUGUUGCGAGCGUUAUCCGGAAUUAUUGGGCUUAAAGGGCAUCUAGGCGGUAAGACAUGUUGAAGGUGAAAACCUGUGGCUCAACCAUAGGCUUGCCUACAAAACUGUUGAACUAGAGUACUGGAAAGGUGGGUGGAACUACACGAGUAGAGGUGAAAUUCGUAGAUAUGUGUAGGAAUGCCGAUGAUGAAGAUAACUCACUGGACAGAAACUGGCGCUGAAGUGCGAAAGCUAGGGGAGCAAACAGG
Molecule: ribosomal RNA, 407 nt
Filed under: Verrucomicrobiota bacterium
Lineage: Bacteria; Pseudomonadati; Verrucomicrobiota
Description: Verrucomicrobia bacterium partial 16S ribosomal RNA
Rfam family: Bacterial small subunit ribosomal RNA
Source: RNAcentral